GCCAAUGACUUUAAUACAAAGCUUCGCAAUGCCCGUAAAUUCCUAGAAAAAGGCGAUAAGGUGAAAGCAUCCAUUCGUUUCCGUGGUCGUGCAAUUACGCACUCACAAAUCGGACGUGACGUACUUGAACGUCUCGCAAAAGAAUGCGAGGACAUCGCAACGAUUGAGGCCCGCCCAAAAAUGGAAGGCCGCAGCAUGUUUCUCGUUAUGGCACCUAAAACCGAGAAAUAAGGGCAGGAAUUAGUUAAAGGAGGACGUCGUUAUGCCUAAAAUGAAAACACACCGAGGCGCUGCUAAGCGUUUUAAGAAAACAGGAACUGGCAAGCUUAAGCGCUCA
RNAcentral lists this unclassified non-coding RNA (337 nucleotides) under Shouchella rhizosphaerae. RNAcentral's name for it is "Bacillus rhizosphaerae Long range pseudoknot". Lineage: Bacteria; Bacillati; Bacillota; Bacilli; Caryophanales; Bacillaceae. The record is from RNAcentral.